This 405-nucleotide unclassified non-coding RNA is filed under the name soil metagenome. RNAcentral's name for it is "partial contains 5.8S ribosomal RNA, internal transcribed spacer 2, and large subunit ribosomal RNA". The stretch from base 1 to 121 matches the Rfam family "5.8S ribosomal RNA", at positions 35 to 154 of the family's 154-position model. The record is from RNAcentral.
GAUGAAGAACGUAGCGAAAUGCGAUAAGUAAUGUGAAUUGCAGAAUUCAGUGAAUCAUCGAAUCUUUGAACGCACCUUGCGCCCUUUGGCCAUUCCGAAGGGCAUGCCUGUUUGAGUAUCAUGAACACCUCAACUCUUUAUGGUUUUCCAUGAUGAGCUUGGACUCUGGGGGUUUUGCUGGCUCACAGUCGGCUCCUCUAAAAUGAAUCAGCUUACCAGUGUUUGGUGGGUAUCAUGGGUGUGAUAACUAUCUACGCUUGUGGUUUUUCCACCAGGUAACCUUCAGCAGUGGAGGUUCGCUGGAGCUCAUAGAUGUCUCUCCUCAGUGAGGACAGCCCUUUGAAUGUUUGAUCUCAAAUCACGUAGGACUACCCGCUGAACUUAAGCAUAUCAAUAAGCGGAGGA